Molecule: ribosomal RNA, 253 nt
Filed under: uncultured bacterium
Lineage: Bacteria
Description: partial 16S ribosomal RNA
Rfam family: Bacterial small subunit ribosomal RNA
Source: RNAcentral
UACGGAGGAGGCAAGCGUUAUCCGGAAUUAUUGGGCGUAAAGCGUCCGCAGGUGGCACCUCAAGUCUGCUGUCAAAGACCGGGGCUUAACCCCAGAAAGGCAGUGGAAACUGAAGUGCUAGAGUGCAGUAGGGGUAGAGGGAAUUCCCGGUGUAGCGGUGAAAUGCGUAGAGAUCGGGAAGAACAUCGGUGGCGAAAGCGCUCUGCUGGACUGCAACUGACACUCAGGGACGAAAGCUAGGGGAGCGAACAGG